This 386-nucleotide ribosomal RNA is filed under the name uncultured bacterium. RNAcentral describes it as "bacterial SSU rRNA". It matches the Rfam family "Bacterial small subunit ribosomal RNA", at positions 29 to 416 of the family's 1533-position model. The record is from RNAcentral.
AUUGAACGCUGGCGGCAUGCCUUACACAUGCAAGUCGAGCGGCAGCGCGGGGGCAACCCUGGCGGCGAGCGGCGAACGGGUGAGUAAUACAUCGGAACGUGUCCAGUAGCGGGGGAUAACCUGUCGAAAGAUAGGCUAAUACCGCGUACGACCUACGGGUGAAAGCGGGGGACCGCAAGGCCUCGCACUAUUGGAGCGGCCGAUGUCGGAUUAGCUAGUUGGCGGGGUAACGGCCCACCAAGGCGACGAUCCGUAGCUGGUCUGAGAGGACGACCAGCCACACUGGAACUGAGACACGGUCCAGACUCCUACGGGAGGCAGCAGUGGGGAAUUUUGGACAAUGGGCGCAAGCCUGAUCCAGCCAUGCCGCGUGAGUGAAGAAGGCC